RNAcentral lists this ribosomal RNA (435 nucleotides) under uncultured bacterium. RNAcentral describes it as "bacterial SSU rRNA". It matches the Rfam family "Bacterial small subunit ribosomal RNA", at positions 141 to 564 of the family's 1533-position model. The record is from RNAcentral.
CAACAGACCCAAAGGGAAGAGCUCUAUGCUUACUCCGCCUUACCUCAGUAAAAGCAAUGUCCUGUGGCCGACCUUCGACUCCUUGAUCAUCCUUAUGUCAGACCAACUAGUUGGUGGGGUGAAGGCCUACCCAGGCCACUAUCUGUAGCUGGUACUGAGAGGAUGAUCCGCCACACUGGGACUGAGACACGGCCCAGACUCCUACGGGAGGCAGCAGUGGGGAAUAUUGGACAAUGGGCGAAAGCCUGAUCCAGCCAUGCCGCGUGUGUGAAGAAGGCCUUUUGGUUGUAAAGCACUUUAAGCGAGGAGGAGGCUACUGAGAUUAAUACUCUUGGAUAGUGGACGUUACUCGCAGAAUAAGCACCGGCUAACUCUGUGCCAGCAGCCGCGGUAAUACAGAGGGUGCGAGCGUUAAUCGGAUUUACUGGGCGUAAA